RNAcentral lists this ribosomal RNA (416 nucleotides) under uncultured microorganism. RNAcentral describes it as "bacterial SSU rRNA". It matches the Rfam family "Bacterial small subunit ribosomal RNA", at positions 9 to 421 of the family's 1533-position model. The record is from RNAcentral.
GAGUUUGAUCGUGGCUCAGAUUGAACGCUGGCGGCAUGCCUUACACAUGCAAGUCGAACGGCAGCAUGAUCUAGCUUGCUAGAUUGAUGGCGAGUGGCGAACGGGUGAGUAAUACAUCGGAACGUGCCCUGUAGUGGGGGAUAACUAGUCGAAAGAUUAGCUAAUACCGCAUACGACCUGAGGGUGAAAGUGGGGGACCGCAAGGCCUCAUGCUAUAGGAGCGGCCGAUGUCUGAUUAGCUAGUUGGUGGGGUAAAGGCCCACCAAGGCGACGAUCAGUAGCUGGUCUGAGAGGACGAUCAGCCACACUGGGACUGAGACACGGUCCAGACUCCUACGGGAGGCAGCAGUGGGGAAUUUUGGACAAUGGGCGAAAGCCUGAUCCAGCAAUGCCGCGUGUGUGAAGAAGGCCUUCGG